AGUUAGUUGGUAAGGUAACGGCUUACCAAGGCGACGAUGGAUAGCUGAUUUGAGAGAGUGAUCAGCCACACUGGGACUGAGAUACGGCCCAGACUCCUACGGGAGGCAGCAGUGAGGAAUAUUGCGCAAUGGGCGAAAGCCUGACGCAGCAACGCCGCGUGGGGGAUGAAGCUUUAUGGAGUGUAAACCCCUGUAAGUAGGGACGAACGGUAAGUAUUCAAAUAGGAUAUUUAAUUGACGGUACCUACAGAGUAAGCUCCGGCUAACUCCGUGCCAGCAGCCGCGGUAAUACGGGGGGAGCAAGCGUUGUCCGGAAUUACUGGGCGUAAAGGGCGUGUAGGCGGUAUUGUAAGUCAGAUGUAAAAGGCUACGGCUUAACCGUAGAUGGUCAUUUGAAACUGCAGUACUUGAGUGCGAGAGAGGGUAGUGGAAUUCCCAGUGUAGCGGUGAAAUGCGUAGAUAUUGGGAAGAACACCAGUAGCGAAGGCGGCUACCUGGCUCGUAACUGACGCUAAUGCGCGAAAGCGUGGGGAGCGAACAGGAUUAGAUACCCUGGUAGUCCACGCUGUAAACGAUGAACACUAGGUGUUGGUCCCGACGUGUCGGGAUCGGUGCCGCAGCAAACGCAUUAAGUGUUCCGCCUGGGGAGUACGAUCGCAAGGUUGAAACUCAAAGGAAUUGACGGGGGCCCGCACAAGCGGUGGAGCAUGUGGUUUAAUUCGAUUCAACGCGAAGAACCUUACCGGGGUUUGACAUGAUAGUGAAGUAUGCAGAGAUGUAUAUGCCUUUCGGGGCACUAUUACAGGUGCUGCAUGGCUGUCGUCAGCUCGUGUCGUGAGAUGUUGGGUUAAGUCCCGCAACGAGCGCAACCCUUGCCCCUAGUUGCCAGCAAGUAAUGUUGGGGACUCUAGGGGGACUGCCGGUGAUAAACUGGAGGAAGGUGGGGAUGACGUCAAGUCCUCAUGGCCCUUACAUCCCGGGCUACACACGUGCUACAAUGGCCGGUACAACGGGGAGCAAUACUGCGAAGUGGAGCGAAUCCCUAAAAACCGGUCUCAGUUCGGAUUGCAGUCUGCAACUCGACUGCAUGAAGUCGGAAUCGCUAGUAAUCGCGGAUCAGCACGCCGCGGUGAAUACGUUCCCGGGCCUUGUACACACCGCCCGUCACGCCAUGGAAGUCGGCAGUACCCGAAGCCGGUGGCCUAAUCCCG
Molecule: ribosomal RNA, 1211 nt
Filed under: metagenome
Description: bacterial SSU rRNA
Rfam family: Bacterial small subunit ribosomal RNA
Source: RNAcentral